Long non-coding RNA from Dama dama (fallow deer), 655 nucleotides. RefSeq lists it as uncharacterized. The transcript is spliced from 2 exons. Lineage: Eukaryota; Metazoa; Chordata; Mammalia; Artiodactyla; Cervidae. The record is from RefSeq and is a predicted model, not a curated record.
GCGGCUGAGGGCGGGCUGACGGGCGGCGCCGACGGACGCACCGCGACGCGAGGGGAGGUCUGACCCGGCUGGGUUGGAGUCCCGGAGCCCCCGCAGCCGUCUUCGUAAAAUCGGCCCCCGCCCCGCGGGACCGGCCCCAGCCUAGCGGUUGGGCCGGCGCCCUGGGUCGCGGACCAACGCUGGAGGGGCCUCGCUGCCUGGGCCGGGCGCUUCCCGGAUCCGCCUCGCCGGACCCCGCGCCCGCCUAAUCCCUGAUCUCCACGAGUUUGGGUGAGAAGUCGGGUUGCUCUGCCCAGGAUGGAUUUUAGAGGAAGAAAGCCGAGAGCCGACGAACCCCGCCCGAACUUCCCCGGAGACGCCCAGUUAUGAAUGAUCAAGAAAGUAACUUCUUAAAAUGACACUGGAACAUCUCAAAAGAGAAGAGUUUAAGAGAAAGAACACUGGACAGAGUUGGAGCUGAGCUCCGGCCAGCUCCUCCACAGACAAACUGCUUGGGCCUGUCACCUAACCUUUCAAGUUUCGCCAACCUCAUCUGUGAAGGAGUUUGGACCAGAGGAUUCCCAGAGUCCUUUCCAGGUCUAAAGGGUUAUGAUUCCAUUUUUUGAGGUAACUAUGAAAAAAUAAAAAUAAAACUAGUCAUUGAAAUUCAGGAAAA